Molecule: ribosomal RNA, 506 nt
Filed under: uncultured bacterium
Lineage: Bacteria
Description: partial 16S ribosomal RNA
Rfam family: Bacterial small subunit ribosomal RNA
Source: RNAcentral
AUUGAACGCUGGCGGCAGGCCUAACACAUGCAAGUCGGACGGUAGCACAGAGGAGCUUGCUCUUCGGGUGACGAGUGGCGGACGGGUGAGUAAUGUCUGGGGAUCUGCCCGAUAGAGGGGGAUAACCACUGGAAACGGUGGCUAAUACCGCAUAACGUCGCAAGACCAAAGAGGGGGACCUUCGGGCCUCUCACUAUCGGAUGAACCCAGAUGGGAUUAGCUAGUAGGCGGGGUAACGGCCCACCUAGGCGACGAUCCCUAGCUGGUCUGAGAGGAUGACCAGCCACACUGGAACUGAGACACGGUCCAGACUCCUACGGGAGGCAGCAGUGGGGAAUAUUGCACAAUGGGCGCAAGCCUGAUGCAGCCAUGCCGCGUGUAUGAAGAAGGCCUUCGGGUUGUAAAGUACUUUCAGCGGGGAGGAAGGCGAUGUGGUUAAUAACCGCAUCGAUUGACGUUACCCGCAGAAGAAGCACCGGCUAACUCCGUGCCAGCCGCCGCGGUAA